UUAUGUGCUUGCACAUUUUGGACGUCGACCGGCGCACGGGUGAGUAUCGCGUAUCCAACCUGCCCUUUACUUGGGGAUACCCCGUUGAAAGACGGCCUAAUACCCGAUGUAAUUCAUUGAUGGCAUCAGAUAUGAAUAAAAGAUUUAUCGGUAAAGGAUGGGGAUGCGUCUGAUUAGCUUGUUGGUGAGGUAAUGGCUCACCAAGGCAACGAUCAGUAGGGGUUCUGAGAGGAAGGUCCCCCACAUUGGAACUGAGACACGGUCCAAACUCCUACGGGAGACAGCAGUGAGGAAUAUUGGUCAAUGGGCGCAAGCCUGAACCAGCCAAGUAGCGUGCAGGAAGACGGCCCUAUGGGUUGUAAACUGCUUUUAUACGAGAAUAAUUUGAUGCACGUGUGCGUUAUUGCAUGUAUCGUAUGAAUAAGGACCGGCUAAUUCCGUGCCAGCAGCCGCGGUAAUACGGAAGGUCCAGGCGUUAUCCGGAUUUAUUGGGUUUAAAGGGAGUGUAGGCGGUUUGUUAAGCGUGUUGUGAAAUUUAGAUGCUCAACAUUUAACUUGCAGCGCGAACUGUCAGACUUGAGUACACGCAACGUAUGCGGAAUUCAUGGUGUAGCGGUGAAAUGCUUAGAUAUCAUGAAGAACUCCGAUUGCGAAGGCAGCAUACGGGAGUGUAACUGACGCUUAAGCUCGAAGGUGCGGGUAUCGAACAGGAUUAGAUAACCUGGUAGUCCGCACAGUAAACGAUGGAUGCCCGCUGUUAGCGCCUGGCGUUAGCGGC
RNAcentral lists this ribosomal RNA (778 nucleotides) under uncultured Prevotellaceae bacterium. RNAcentral's name for it is "bacterial SSU rRNA". It matches the Rfam family "Bacterial small subunit ribosomal RNA", at positions 72 to 847 of the family's 1533-position model. The record is from RNAcentral. Lineage: Bacteria; Pseudomonadati; Bacteroidota; Bacteroidia; Bacteroidales; Prevotellaceae.